RNAcentral lists this transfer RNA (76 nucleotides) under Anderseniella sp. RNAcentral's name for it is "tRNA-Thr". It matches the Rfam family "tRNA". Rfam says of the family: Transfer RNA (tRNA) molecules are approximately 80 nucleotides in length. Lineage: Bacteria; Pseudomonadati; Pseudomonadota; Alphaproteobacteria; Hyphomicrobiales; Parvibaculaceae. RNAcentral also lists the same sequence under 5 other names. The record is from RNAcentral.
GCCGCUUUAGCUCAGUUGGUAGAGCACAUCAUUCGUAAUGAUGGGGUCAGGUGUUCGAAUCACCUAAGCGGCACCA